Molecule: ribosomal RNA, 501 nt
Filed under: earthworm cast bacterium NC9
Lineage: Bacteria
Description: bacterial SSU rRNA
Rfam family: Bacterial small subunit ribosomal RNA
Source: RNAcentral
GCGGCAUGCCUUACACAUGCAAGUCGAACGGCAGCACGGGGGCAACCCUGGUGGCGAGUGGCGAACGGGUGAGUAAUACAUCGGAACGUGCCCUGUAGUGGGGGAUAACUAGUCGAAAGAUUAGCUAAUACCGCAUACGACCUGAGGGUGAAAGCGGGGGACCGUAAGGCCUCGCGCUACAGGAGCGGCCGAUGUCUGAUUAGCUAGUUGGUGGGGUAAAAGCCUACCAAGGCGACGAUCAGUAGCUGGUCUGAGAGGACGAUCAGCCACACUGGGACUGAGACACGGCCCAGACUCCUACGGGAGGCAGCAGUGGGGAAUUUUGGACAAUGGGGGCAACCCUGAUCCAGCAAUGCCGCGUGUGUGAAGAAGGCCUUCGGGUUGUAAAGCACUUUUGUCCGGAAAGAAAUGGCUCUGGUUAAUACCNGGGGUCGAUGACGGUACCGGAAGAAUAAGCACCGGCUAACUACGUGCCAGCAGCCGCGGUAAUACGUAGGGUGC